RNAcentral lists this transfer RNA (68 nucleotides) under Nabis apicalis. RNAcentral describes it as "tRNA-Phe". Lineage: Eukaryota; Metazoa; Arthropoda; Insecta; Hemiptera; Nabidae. The record is from RNAcentral.
ACUAGAAUAGCUUAAAUAGUAAAGCUUAAUAUUGAAGAUAUUAAUAUAAGUAUUAUACUUUUCUAGUA